AUGUCAGUUUAAGUACGUCCCAUGCAAUAUUUGGGACAUACUUAAACUAAAA
RNAcentral lists this microRNA precursor (52 nucleotides) under Equus caballus (horse). RNAcentral describes it as "mir-1302 microRNA precursor family". It matches the Rfam family "mir-1302 microRNA precursor family". The record is from Rfam by way of RNAcentral. Lineage: Eukaryota; Metazoa; Chordata; Mammalia; Perissodactyla; Equidae.